Molecule: long non-coding RNA, 268 nt
Filed under: Carica papaya (papaya)
Lineage: Eukaryota; Viridiplantae; Streptophyta; Magnoliopsida; Brassicales; Caricaceae
Description: long non-coding RNA (CPAP_LNC003341)
Source: RNAcentral
UAGGGUCGUCCCCAUACGCUGUCCGAUAUGAGCACCAAGACAUUAAACCUCAAUACCCCGUUCGGUAUAAGAGUAAAACGGGUCGUCCCCAUACCCCGUCCGGUAUGAGCGUCAAAUGACCAAGUCUCCAUACUCCGUCCAGUAUGAGACAACAUUCACAGUAGGGUUCCCUAUGAACCCGGCCCAUCCACCAUCUCUCAGGAUAUCUAGUGAAGCUGUCACCUUAUCUGUUUAUUAGAUCACAUCCCUUUCCUGUUUAUCCUUAAUC